CAUAGCAGUUAAAGUGUGUGCUGAAAAACGUACAAGGAGUAGUUUAAUUAGAAUUUCAGCUUGGGUGUUGACAGUGAAGCAGAAGUGCUUUUUCCCUGAGUUGUCCUGGAGAGGGAAUUCCCCAUUUCUGGUUUACAAGACCGGAGCAUUGAGUUAUACUACAAGGGCAGUUUCAUUUGAGUAAUUUGUUUUCAAUUAGGGCGGUAAUUGGUGUAAGGUGAAGAUAGUUGAGAAGUGCAUAAUGGAUGCUGUUUGUCUGAUGAUAAUAAAAGGGUAGCUGAUUGGCUGCCCUCCGAUUCAUAUGAGUGUGAGACUAGUGGACGGAAUACUAUGCUUUGCUGUUUAGACAUGUGAGGUAUAGAAAUAACUGCUAGAAUAAGAAUGGAAGAUAUAAGGGCCAGUACACCUCCUAGUUUAUUAGGGAUGGAUCAUAAGAUUGCAUAUGCAAAUAAAAAGUAUUACUCUGGUUUAAUGUGGGGCGAGGUAUUGAGGGGGUUGGCUAAAGUGUAAUUAUCUGGGUAGCUCAGGAGAUCAGGUGAAAAUAGUACUAGAAUUAUUAGGAAGAGGAGGAGGAGAAUUAGGCCUAGAAUAUCUUUGAUUGUGUAGUAAGCGUGGAAAGUGAUUUUGUCAGGGUCUGAUGAGAUCCCUGAAGGGUUAUUAGAUCCUGUUUCAUGUAAGAACAAAAGGUGAAAAGUCUCUAAAGCUGCAAUGAUGAAAGGUAAGAUAAAAUGGAAGGCAAAAAAUCGUGUAAGGGUGGCUUUGUCUACUGAAAAUCCACCUCAGAUUCAUUGCACAAGGUCAGUUCCAAUAUACGGAAUGGCUGAUAGCAGGUUUGUAGAAUAGGUGUGUAAAAACUCAGAAGAUUUGGCCUCAUGGGAGUACGUAACCUAUAAAUGCUAUUGCUAUGGUCGUGAGUAGCAGGAUAAUACCAAUAUUUCAGGUUUCUAGAAAUAUAAAUGAACCAUAGUAUAAGCUUUGGCCAAUGUGUAGGAAGAGGCAGGUGAAAAAUACUGAAGCGCCGUUAGCACGAAGAUAACGAAUUAUUCAGCCGUAGUUUACAUCUCGGCUGAUAUUGGUGAUUGAAGAGAAGGCAGUUAAGGGAUCUGAUGUGUAGUGUAUGGCCAGAAAUAAUCUGGUAGUGAUUUGGAGAAUUAAGCAGGCACAAAUAAGUGAGCCAAAGUUUCAUCAUGUAGAAAUGUUGGAUGGUGUGGGAAGAUCAAUGAAUGAAUGACUAAUAAUUUUUAUUAGCAGGUGCGUUGUGCAUAUUUUGGUCAUUAGUGUUCUUAUAGUUGAAAUACAAUGAUGGUUUUUCAUACCAUUAGUCAUGGUUAUAGUCCAUGUAGGAAUAAUGGCUUAUGAUUUAUUAUUAAGUAUUCUUUUAGUUAUAGGGUUUGCAGGUUUUUCUUCGAAACUGUCUCCUAUUUAUGGGGAGGGGAUAGGGUUAAUUAUUAGUGGUGCUGUGGGUUGUGGUAUUCUGUUGAAUUUUGGUGGGACUUUCGUGGGGUUAAUAGUCUUUAAUUUAUUUGGGUGGUAUAAUGGUUGUUUGAGGAGUAUCCUGAAACAUGAGGGUCAAGUAUUGACAUUUGAGGGGCUUUAUUAUUAGGAUUAUUAACAGAGUUGGUGUUAAUUUGGUGAAUGAGUAUGAUGGGAUGGUCAUUAUAAUUAAUUUUAAUAGCAUAUGGAGUUGCAUAAUAUUUGAGGGUGAGGGGGCGAGGUGGUUGCGUGAGGAUUCUGUCGGUGCAGCUUCUUUAUACAGUUACGGGUAUUGGUGGCAGUUGCUGGUUGAACGUUAUUUGUCAGUAUUUAUGUUGCACUUGAAGUUACUCAGGGUGAUGAUUAGGAGGGUGAAGUAUAUGCCUAAGGUAAUUGCGAUGGCGACUACCUUCCAUCAGGCUGUGGUGAGCUCAAGUAAUUGAAACUCCUGAUGCAAGAAUGGGGGCCCAACAGUGCCAAGGCCGCCUCUUGUCACUCUCAACCUGGGAGAUCUCUGCAUAUGGAGGAGUUCUGAGGACUGAUGUGUUUCCAGGGUCUGCAAAUCUCAAAGUAUGUUUCACAGAUCAUUAGUUCCAUUAGAUGCUCCUCAAAAAAGGGGUUUGUGGUUAAGUAGAGCUGAAGACAGCUUUACAUUCUGUUCCCCUCUUAGAGAUUUACAGAGAACAUUAAAGGCUCUGAUAAUUCCUGCAGUUGAGAAAACUGCUUAUUUUGGUUUAACCCAGUGUUUCCCAAACAUAUUUGGGAAGGACCACAUGUAUUUUUUUCACUUAAUUCUUGUUUGCAUCUUUUGGAACUAGUGUUUUUCAGAACAGAUUUUGAGCAACUCCCUACAAAAAUGCUUUGAAAAGACAUACUCUACUGGGUGAGCUCUCUCAUGGGGAGGAAGGGGGUGAAGAAAAUACAUAUGAAUAUGUACAAGUUUUUAAAUUUCAAAAGGGUAUACUAUAAAAUAUAAGAAAUGUGUUUCCUUCCAACCCCAGAUUUUAAAUAUUAUUCUCCACAGGUAACUAAUAUCAAUACUUCCUGGUAUGUUGUCAAAAAGUGUGCAUGUGCCUCUGUGUGUGUGCAUGUAUAUGUGUGUGUGUGUGUGUGCAUGUGUUUAUACAGGUGAGGGUAUUUAACACAUACCAUUUCUGCCUGCUUUUUCUACUUGAAUAGCUUAGAGUAUUUUUGUAUUAGCAUGUAAACCUUCUAUUUAAUGGGUAAAUAGGAGUCUUGCAUAGAUGCACCCCCAUUUUUUUAACCAAUCACCUGUUGAUAGAAGCAUAGGGUUUUCGGGAGGUACUCUCAUAAGAAAGCUUGAAUUUCCAGAAAGACUCUAAGGCAUGUGCGCUGAGAGGGACUAAGCCUUCAAGUCGUUUAUGGUCUUGACUGACUGUUCUAGGCUCACAUCUUAGCAUGACCAGCCAAGCUACUGAGAUGGAGAAAAGGGCAAGGGGCAGGGCCGGCACACUUUGCUGGCAUAGUUUCUCUUAAAUCACUUGCUUUGCUUAGAAGUUUCAGUGAACUCAGCAAUCCUGCCCCAGACAUGAAAUUAGAUGCCUGCUGGAGGUAUAAUGGGCACCUAAUUUCUUCACGGUUGAACUGCUUCAGCCAUUUGAACCAUCUGUGGGUUGUUAGGUCACUUUCACAGGGCUGAUGAGUAAAUAAGGGCCAACUUCUGCUCUCAUUAGUAUGUUUUCCUUUCUCGUCAAGUAAUGAGAACAUGUUGCAAUGGGAUUCGUCACUAAAGAAAAACUGACGAAACCCACUUCUGGAAAGUAGAAAAAAAAAAUACUUCCCCUUUGAAAGUCAAUGAAAACAGUGAGUUUUCUGGGUAAAAUUAAAAUUCACAAUCAGAAGCAGAAUCCUGUUUGGCAGAAUCAAGUUUGGCUCCAGGAGUCUGCAGCCCUUAGAUCAGUGAUCCAGAACGGACUUUUCUCCCAAGCGCCUUGAAACUGUAAGAUUUCCCAGGUGAGCCUGGUCCUCCACGUUCAUUGCUGAUAGGGGGAAGUCUGUAGGAAAAUUCUCCCUCAGCUGCUAGUGACUCAAAGUCUAAGGAUGUCAAAAGAGCUGGCCUCAUUUGUAGGAAGCACGAGGUCUCUUAGUCAUUUACGGUCACAGUUGGGAGAAAGGUCACAGAGUGCCGUUCUUUUGGGAGAGUGCUCUUCAACAGGCACCUGCAUCCCCCAGGCUUCUCUUUUCAGUUUGCCACUCCACAGCAAUCAUUUCUGGCUGGCGGUAUACCUGGGGAACCCAGCAGAAGCAAAUGCAAACCUGCUCUGGAAGAACAAAUCCACACCUUAGGCCACGUGGAAUUCCCACAGGGAAAAAUAAAUCUCCCUGAAGAAUUUAUAAUACAGAUGUAUAAAACACUAAAGGAAAAGAUCCUUUAUGAAUAAGAGUCAGUAGAUAAAAUAGGCAGAAUGAUUCACUCCCCCGCAACUCGAGACGACAGAACAGGUUUAAAAUAUUAUAAAUAUAUUAGGCUUUGGUGAGUUAAGGAAAUGAAAGAAAUAAGCACACAAGAAAAGAAACUAAAAGAAAAAAAGAACCAAAUAAAACAUAUAGAAAUGAAAAGAUAGUGAAACUAAAGACUCAAUGAACGUGUUAAACAGAAGAUUAGAUAGAACCAAAUAGGGAAUUGGUGAACUGAAAGAUAGAUUUGAAACAGCAACUAUACAAAAUUCAGCAUGGAUUAAGAGAAUAAGAGAAGAAAUAUGAAAAAAAUGGUUGAGGCAUAAAAAAAUGACAGAGUCAACAUGCAUACCAAUAUAGUAGGAGUUCUAAAAGGAGAAAACAGACUGGGGGAAAGGCAAGGUAAUAAAGAGGAAAAUUUUCCAGAAUUGGUAAAUAUUAUAACCCUUUAAAUUGAAGAUGAAAAAUGAGUUAAGAACUAGAAAUAAAUUCACCUCUAGGCACAUAAUAGUGAAAUUUCAAAAUAAAAAAACAAAGUGAAACUCUUAUUAGUUACCAGAUAAAUUCAGAUUAUUAAGGACAAAAAUGAGACCCAGAGACUUGUGAACAGCAAUAACAGAGGCAUUGGAAAAAUGACAGAGACACCUGAAAAAUGCCAAGCAAAAAUAAUUAUCAACCUAAAAUGUAUCAGCUAAUUUAUCAUUCAACCUUGAGCAUGAAAUAGACACAUUCAGACAAAGACUGAGAAAGUUCAUCUGUCACACACCCUUCCUGAAAAAUUUUCUAAAGGAAGAACUGCAAGAAUAAGGAGACAGAACCCAAGAGAAAGUAGUGGGUGUAUGCAGUAAUGAUUAGCAAAUAAACCAGUAAAUGAUAGGAAUGCAUUUUUAAAUAAGCAAACAAAAAUAUUUAUUUUAAAACACCAGUAACAACAAUAAUAAUGAGGGAAAAAUUUAAAUAUUAGACAACAAUGACAUGUAAGAUAGAGUGGUUGAUUGGAGUUAGAAUUUUUUAAAGUUUUUGUGUUGUUCAGAAG
This 4927-nucleotide long non-coding RNA is filed under the name Homo sapiens (human). Its description in RNAcentral is "HSALNT0381489". Lineage: Eukaryota; Metazoa; Chordata; Mammalia; Primates; Hominidae. The record is from RNAcentral.